RNAcentral lists this ribosomal RNA (1077 nucleotides) under Triticum aestivum (bread wheat). Its description in RNAcentral is "partial small subunit ribosomal RNA". The record is from RNAcentral. Lineage: Eukaryota; Viridiplantae; Streptophyta; Magnoliopsida; Poales; Poaceae.
AUGAACAAUGAGCUUCUGAAACCAUACUCUACGGAGGAGGUGAAAAAGGCUUUAUUCUCUAUAGGUGACACAAAAGCACCAGGUGCGGAUGGAUUGCAUGCCCUGUUCUUUAAAAAAUGUUGGCACGUUUUUGGAGAUUUACUUACAAGUGAAGUGUUGAGCGCAAUAAAUAAUAAAGUUGUUCCUGAUGGUUGGAAUGAUACUGUGAUAGUUCUAAUACCUAAAGUGGAUUCCCCAGAAAAUAUAUCACAGUAUAGGCCUAUCAGUUUAUGCAAUGUCUUGUAUAAAAUCAUCUCUAAAAUGAUUGCUUUUCGUUUAAAGGCUAUUUUGGAUGAAGUAAUAUCUCCUGUCCAGAGUGCUUUUGUACCUAGGAGAUCAAUUUCUGACAACAUUCUCAUCGCCUAUGAAAGUAUGCAUACUAUAAAAAACAAGAAGAAGGGCAAGAUAGGAUAUUGUGCAGUAAAGCUUGAUAUGCACAAGGCAUAUGACCGCGUUGAAUGGAUCUUUUUGGAAAGAAUGUUGAGUAGGCUCGGCUUUCAUGGUGAUUUUAUUGACUUGUUGAUGGCUUGUGUCAGUUCAGUUAAAUAUAGAAUCAGAUUUAAUGAUCAAGAGACAAAUAUGUUUGUGCCAAGCAGGGGCCUCCGUCAGGGGGACCCGUUAUCACCUUAUUUGUUUCUCUUAUGUGCAGAAGGGCUUUCAAGUGCUCUAGCUCAACAAGAGGAGGUUCGUGGCAUAGAGGGUGUUCGGGUGUGCAGAAAUGCACCAUCAGUAUCUCAUUUAUUAUUCGCUGAUGAUUCCCUUAUACUCAUGAAGGCAGAUAUGAUUAAUGCAACCUCAUUGAGAUCAGUGCUUGAUGCUUAUUGUGCUAAUUCAGGCCAGCUUAUUAGUGAAGCCAAAUGCAGUAUUUUUAGUCCAAAUGUUGAUGUGGAAAUAAAAGCCCAGAUGUGUACUGAACUUAAUAUCCACACUGAAGCAAUUUCUGAAAAGUACCUGGGCCUACCCUCUAUGGUGGGGCUGGAUAAAAGUGAUAGUUUUGUUUAUUUGCUUGAAAGGAUCAUUGAAAGAUUGAAGGGAUGA